Molecule: long non-coding RNA, 392 nt
Organism: Oncorhynchus gorbuscha (pink salmon)
Lineage: Eukaryota; Metazoa; Chordata; Actinopteri; Salmoniformes; Salmonidae
Exons: 3
Source: RefSeq, a predicted model, not a curated record
AUUGGAGAUAUGCAGAUUUUUUCCUCAAGGUAGACUGCUCGCACGUGCAAGAGGCAGCUUUGGCAGCCGGUGUUGAGAGAAUCACACUGAAGCCUUGAAGCUUAAGAAGAAGAGGAUCGGACAGUGUUCCCUGCAGCGGGGUGAUGGACAGUUAAGACCGCUACGAUGACCGACGACUCCUUCACUGGCCCCUCCACCAAGCUGUCCUUCCAUCUGGCAGCCAUCCGCGUGAUCAACCUGCCCCAUACCCUCUAUAACUCCCUCUCACAGGUGAGCCUCAGUACAGGCACUAAGAAAGUAGUUGCUGCUACAGCCUUCGGCGCAGUGUCUCUCCUCUUCCUCGCCCGUCACUUCCAGAGGAGGAAAGGCAGGAAGAAGGGAGUCCAAUCACC